This 514-nucleotide ribosomal RNA is filed under the name Monochamus masaoi. RNAcentral describes it as "partial 16S rRNA". It matches the Rfam family "Bacterial large subunit ribosomal RNA", at positions 1800 to 2587 of the family's 2925-position model. The record is from RNAcentral. Lineage: Eukaryota; Metazoa; Arthropoda; Insecta; Coleoptera; Cerambycidae.
CUGUUUAUCAAAAACAUGGCCUAUUGUUUAUAAUAAUAGGUCUGACCUGCCCACUGAAUUUUUAAAGGGCCGCGGUAUUUUGACCGUGCUAAGGUAGCAUAAUCAUUAGUUUUUUAAUUGAAAGCUGGAAUGAAUGGUUGGAUGAAAAAAUAACUGUCUCUAUUUAAAAAAGGUUGAAUUUUAUCUUUAAGUAAGAAAGCUUAAAUAAAUUUAAAAGACGAGAAGACCCUAUAGAGUUUUAUAAAAUUUUAUAUUUGAAUUUUUAGGAUUAUAAUUUUAUUUAUAAAAUUUUAUUUGAUUGGGGCGAUUGAAAAAUUAAAUGAACUUUUUUUUUAUUGAAACAUUUAUUAAAUGAAAAUUUGAUCCAUUAAUAAUGAUUAUAAGAUUAAAUUACCUUAGGGAUAACAGCGUAAUUUUUUUUGAGAGUUCAAAUCGAAAAAAAAGUUUGCGACCUCGAUGUUGGAUUAAAAUUAAUUUUUGGUGUAGAAGCUAAUAAAUUAGGUCUGUUCGACCU